Molecule: transfer RNA, 71 nt
Filed under: Heterocephalus glaber (naked mole-rat)
Lineage: Eukaryota; Metazoa; Chordata; Mammalia; Rodentia; Bathyergidae
Rfam family: tRNA
About the family: Transfer RNA (tRNA) molecules are approximately 80 nucleotides in length. Their secondary structure includes four short double-helical elements and three loops (D, anti-codon, and T loops).
Source: Rfam by way of RNAcentral
UCAGAUGUAGCUUAGUGGUAGAGUACUUGCCUAGCAUGCAUGAAACUGAGGGUUCAGUCCUCUGGACUGAA